RNAcentral lists this ribosomal RNA (301 nucleotides) under uncultured bacterium. Its description in RNAcentral is "partial 16S ribosomal RNA". It matches the Rfam family "Bacterial small subunit ribosomal RNA", at positions 509 to 807 of the family's 1533-position model. The record is from RNAcentral.
CAGUAGCCGCGGGAAUACGUAGGGUGCGAGCGUUAAUCGGAAUUACUGGGCGUAAAGCGUGCGUAGGCGGUGAGUUAAGUCUGCUGUGAAAUCCCCGGGCUCAACCUGGGAAUGGCAGUGGAUACUGGCUCGCUAGAGUGUGUCAGAGGAUGGUGGAAUUCCCGGUGUAGCGGUGAAAUGCGCAGAGAUCGGGAGGAACAUCAGUGGCGAAGGCGGCCAUCUGGGACAACACUGACGCUGAGGCACGAAAGCGUGGGGAGUAAACAGGAUUAGAUACCCCCGUAGUCCCUGUCUCUUAUAC